This 71-nucleotide transfer RNA is filed under the name Loxodonta africana (African savanna elephant). It matches the Rfam family "tRNA". From Rfam's summary of the family: Transfer RNA (tRNA) molecules are approximately 80 nucleotides in length. Their secondary structure includes four short double-helical elements and three loops (D, anti-codon, and T loops). Further hydrogen bonds mediate the characteristic L-shaped molecular structure. tRNAs have two regions of fundamental functional importance: the anti-codon, which is responsible for specific mRNA codon recognition, and the 3' end, to which the tRNAs corresponding amino acid is attached (by aminoacyl-tRNA synthetases). tRNAs cope with the degeneracy of the genetic code in two manners: having more than one tRNA (with a specific anti-codon) for a particular amino acid; and 'wobble' base-pairing, i.e. permitting non-standard base-pairing at the 3rd anti-codon position. Lineage: Eukaryota; Metazoa; Chordata; Mammalia; Proboscidea; Elephantidae. The record is from Rfam by way of RNAcentral.
GCAUUGGUGCUUCAGUGGUAGAAUUCCCACCUUUCACGAAGGAGACCCAGAUUUGAUUCCUGGCCGGUGCA